GGGCAUCCCGGAGGCAGGAAAGGCUUCGGCCGGACAGGGAUGGGCAUGCGGCGCAUUAGGCAGUAGGCGGGGUAACGGCCCACCUAACCGACGAUGCGUAGGGGUUCUGAGAGGAAGGUCCCCCACACUGGUACUGAGACACGGACCAGACUCCUACGGGAGGCAGCAGUGAGGAAUAUUGGUCAAUGGUCGGGAGACUGAACCAGCCAAGCCGCGUGAGGGAGGAAGGUACAGAGUAUCGUAAACCUCUUUUGUCAGGGAACAAAGACUGGGACGCGUCCCCGGAUGAGUGUACCUGAAGAAAAAGCAUCGGCUAACUCCGUGCCAGCAGCCGCGGUAAUACGGAGGAUGCGAGCGUUAUCCGGAUUUAUUGGGUUUAAAGGGUGCGCAGGCGGUCUGUUAAGUCAGCGGUCAAAGCCCGGGGCUCAACCCCGGCCCGCCGUUGAAACUGGCAGUCUCGAGUUGGAGAGAAGUAUGCGGAAUGCGCGGUGUAGCGGUGAAAUGCAUAGAUAUCGCGCAGAACUCCGAUUGCGAAGGCAGCAUGCCGGCUCCACACUGACGCUGAGGCACGAAAGCGUGGGUAUCGAACAGGAUUAGAUACCCUGGUAGUCCACGCAGUAAGCGAUGAAUGCUGGCUGUCCGGGGGGACUGACCCCUGGGUGGCGA
This 666-nucleotide ribosomal RNA is filed under the name uncultured bacterium. RNAcentral describes it as "bacterial SSU rRNA". It matches the Rfam family "Bacterial small subunit ribosomal RNA", at positions 186 to 849 of the family's 1533-position model. The record is from RNAcentral.